CUCACACAUUGUUAGCUUAGAGUGAAGGCCACUGGCUGGCCAAUGAACUCAGAAGUGUAGGUAGUGUGCUACAUGAGGGUAAGUCUUUCACUGAUAGCACAAGAGUCUCUGGCCCAAUGAGUAGAGUUCUACAGUAAUUCUUGCUACAAGU
This is a small nucleolar RNA of Vulpes vulpes (red fox), 151 nucleotides long. The record is from Ensembl. NCBI's taxonomy places the organism in Eukaryota, Metazoa, Chordata, Mammalia, Carnivora, Canidae.